Molecule: non-coding RNA, 72 nt
Organism: Phrynosoma platyrhinos (Desert horned lizard)
Lineage: Eukaryota; Metazoa; Chordata; Lepidosauria; Squamata; Phrynosomatidae
Source: the annotation of a GenBank genome assembly
AACAGUGUGGCAAAAUGGUUUGAGCGUUGGAUGAAAACUUUGGAGACCAGGGUUCGAUUCCCUGCUCGGCCA